Non-coding RNA from Bos taurus (domestic cattle), 72 nucleotides. The record is from Rfam. Lineage: Eukaryota; Metazoa; Chordata; Mammalia; Artiodactyla; Bovidae.
UCCCUGGUAGCUCAGAGAUUAAAGCAUCUGCCUGCCAUGCGGGAGAGCUGGGUUCAAUUCCUGGGUUGGGAA